Molecule: long non-coding RNA, 7618 nt
Organism: Neofelis nebulosa (Clouded leopard)
Lineage: Eukaryota; Metazoa; Chordata; Mammalia; Carnivora; Felidae
Exons: 2
Source: RefSeq, a predicted model, not a curated record
GCAGGAGGAGAGGGAGGGAGGGAGAAUCCUAAGCAGGCUCUGCACUGUCAGCAAAGAACCAAAUGUGGGGCUCAAUUCCAUGAACCAUGAGAUCAUGACCUGAACCAAGAUCAAGAGUGACAUGUUUAACCGACUAGCCACCCAGGCACCCCAAUUAUUGUAAUUUUUAAAUCAAGCACUUUCAUUUUGUUUUACAGGUUCCCCUUGAGACUCUAUUCAUUGAGUCGUUGUCAUCAUAGUUUCCUUUAAUCCUGUAAACACAGUUCCCUUCAUUUCUUUGAAAUAUCUAUAAUAGGGGCUUUAGAGUCUGUGUGUGUCAGAUCCAACAUUUGUGAUCACUAGAGGCAGUUUCUACUGAUUUUUUUUUCCCCGCAGUAUAGGUCACACUUUGGUUUUUUGCAUCUUUUUACCUUUUUGUUGAAUACUGAACAUUUAAAGUAAGGUACUGCUGGCAACUCUAGAUUCUGAAUUUUUCCCAGCUAAGGUUUUGUGAUGGUGGUGGUUCUUCUGGUUUUUGUUUUUGCUUUUACUAACUUCCCAGGAAUAUACCUGUGCAACCUGUCUCUCCUAUAAUGUGUGGUGCCUGAUGGCUCAGAAUUUUUUCCCUGGUUUUUAUCGUGAAGCCAGAUCACCCCUCUGUCUAUAUAACUUACUGACUGGUCAGAGGUGGUGCUCACCUUGAGCCCUUUUAUUCUCUCCUGAUGGAUCUGUGCUUGGGAUGGGGAGCACACUCUCAGUUUAGGUCUUUAAAUCUACUGUAGAUUUUACUUUCUGUUGGGCUUUCUCACACAGCCUUUGCAUUGGCCAAAAAAAUAUAUAGAUGGCUUGGGCUUGCACUGGUUUCUACUGUGUGUGAAGCCUCCAGUCAACCCAGGAUAUAUGGAGACCCUAUCAAACUUCCUGUAGUUGUCUCACUGCCCAGACCUCUCUGUUAAAGCCCUAUCCAGGCUGCUGCUCCACUGUCUGCCCCAAACAGGUCUGUAACCUUAGGCUAGAAGAGUUGCUUGGCUCUCCCUAUUUCACUUGUUACCAAGAUCAUCACUUUUUUCUCUUCAAUACUAUUUUUUUCUACUUAAAUCCAAGUUGGUGAACACACAGUAUAUACAGUAAGAUCAUCACUUUUAACUGCUAAUACUCCAAAUCAAGUGAGCCCCCUCCCACAGGGGUAGUAAAGCAGCUGGUUUUCUACUGGUUGAACUACUACAACUAGUUCCACCCUGGUUGAACUACUACACUAUCAGGGCUGAAAAUAAUGGGAGAAAUCCUGGGCAAGACCAUAAACAUGUUUUAUACAAAAUUCAGUGGUUUUCAUGAACAAAUGCUUCUCAACUUGUUAUAAGCCUGCAAUUAUUUCUGUUUCUUCCAGCUUUGCAGUUGCUUUUGGGGGACAGGAUUUGUUGACCUGCUCACUCAGUCAUGCCAGAAAUGAAUCUCCUCAUUAGAUGUGUUUUUAUAAAUCUCAUACAUGAUAAAAGUCUAACUUUGGUAAAGCCAAACAGUCUGAAAUCCAAUCUGCUUUCCUGGAAUUAGACCCAAGUAUCAUAAUACCUAAACUGUUCAAAUACACCUCAAUCCCAAAAUAUACUUGAGAAAAAACUUCCCUGGGGGAAGGCAGAGGAAUAAAAUGACUCUGGAAUAUUGGAAUGAUUUUCAAUUCCAGAAGACAAUACAAAAAUUUGAGUAUCAGAUAGUUAUUUCCAGUUCCCACCUCCCAAAAGCCCUAACUACUGGAGUCAGUAGUACUCUAUAAAUGGAUAUAUAAUCUGAACAGCCCUAAAGCCAAUCGUGGCUAGGGCAGGAGUACAUAGUCUCCAAUCUUGUCGCCAUGUAGGUACUCAAACAGCUCCUACACAGAGAAGGACACUGAGUGCUACAGCUGGCCCUGGCCAUUGCAACUAAGCCCAUCAGCAUGCAUGGGUGUCUAUCAUGGGUCCCUUGCUCACAGGCCUGGGCUCACUCUUGGCCUCUCUAGUCAUACCAUCCUGAGACCCAAAGUCCUGAGUCUUAAUACUCAUACUCCUAGCCAAAAACUGGGUGGUUUGAAAGUAUCUCUUCUAUUUGCCAAACUUCAACCAUCACGUAAUGCCUGGAUCCUCACUGCAUUUGCCAGCUCCCCAUGCCUUCCCACCCCAGGGCUGCCAAAUAAUUCCUAAUCAGUGAUGCCCCUGAAUUUGCCCUACCUGUAACACUGUCCCUCAAAUGCCAGACUUAAUGGUGAGUUGCUACAACCUCCAUCUAGCCUGCUACCUGACUGACGUUAUCAUGUCAGACAAUUUGUCUACUGUUCAUAUUCUCCUAAUAUUGUAUUUGUACCUUCUACUAAAUAGUCAAUAUGCUAUAACCCUUGACAGGACAAAUGGACACCUAACCCUAGCUGGGCUUAUCCUCUUUCCUGAGCAUUUAAAUUUUGAAUACCAAUGCUUCCCUUAGCCUGUGUUGAGCAUAGGUGCUGGAAAGACAUGACAAGGCAGGGCAGAGGCGGCCAUUUUCCACCAUGGAUACCGAAGCAAAGAGUAUCAGUUUGAAGGAGAAAAGAAGUAUGAAACAGAGGCACCACAGAAGCAGAAAUAAGAUUCUAUAUGACCAAAGAGAGAUGGGAGAGAAAUUCUGGUCUUAACCAUUUAUGAAAUCCAAAUGAAUGUCCUGCCCUUAGGCCUCAAGAGAAACCCUGUACUUUCCAACAAUGUCCCCAUUUUAAAUUAGUUUAAGGGGGAGGGGGAGGGUGUUCUGUUCCUUGCAGUUGAACUACUCCAGUUAAUACCUCUGGUUUCUCCCUUGCUACCAGUCUAUGUUUCCCAGAAACCCACAUCACUCACACUCUAGUUAGACCAGUUCCUUCUCCACCAUACGGUUCCUUGCGUUCAACCCAUGCUUUUCUGGCUAUACCCAGAUUCUUUACAAAUCCCUAAGUUAAGAUCCUCUUCUCUAAGCGCUGAAGUUCUCUUUGUCUAUGAUGAACAAGCAAUGAGACGUAGUGUGAUUUUAACCUUUUAGGCUCAGCUUCUCACCUAGGAACCACCACCUACUUCAUAUGGUUAUGACAGGAAUUACAUAUGGUGAGAAUAAAGUCCUUGGCACCUCAUCGGACACACAGAAAGCUCCACUAAAGGUAGUUGUUUUCAGUAUUACAUUGAUUAAAUUUGUGCAUUCUGAACAUGAGGUAAAAAACUAAUAUUUAAGAACUGAAGGGCACUAAGUAUAUCAAGAAGACUAAUCAAAAGUAAUUCCUUCUGGGUAGUAUUCUUUUCACAUGAGAGCACUAGAAUACUAACUUGUGAGCAGCCAUACCAACUCCCCAGUCAAAUCUAUUUCUCCCAAACUUGUAUUUCUGAAGCUUUGAAAAUGACCCUGUGACCUUUCACCUAUAUUUGCAGGAUCAUUUCUACUAAUUUACUGAUGUUGCUUGAGAUUUGUUUGCAGAUAUUUUUACCCGUUUGGAAAACAAAAAACAAAAACACAAAGGUAAGAGGUUGAAAGUAACUGGCCAAAAAUCACAGUUAUCAAAUCUAUGUGAAGAGAUUGUAAUAUAUUUUUGGUGAGAUAUAAUUAAGGGCCAAAAUAAUCAUUACUAUUAGGAGAGGGUUACCAAUAAGUUUUUGUCUAGCAAAACCUCUAACAGGAAAAAAAAAAAAAAAAAGAUGAAGGGACAGAGACAGAGACUAAAUACCACAAUUAAGGUUGUUUUGAUAAAAAUUACAUUUAGGGCUUGGUUUUUACUACAUCUUAGUUAUGUUGACAGAUUCCUGGAUAACUGAGAUGCUAAAUAAUCCAGACGCCAAACAAAUCAACAAAAGUCCCACCACAAAAUCAUGACAAAAAGGAUUUUAUUUCCUUCUCAAUUACACAAAUCUACUCCAUUCAGCAAAAGCAAAAACAAUUCCUAGGAGAAUCAUUUGGUUUUAGACUCAUAAAUAAUUGUCAACAGGACUGAUCACAUAAUGAGGAGUAAUUCUAUCGACAGUAUUAGAACUAUUAUUAUAAAUCUGUGCAUACACAAUGGACCACACACACACACAAUGGUCAGAUUUUGCUUUAAGUCACAGAAGAACACUUUCUAUUUCAUACGUAGCUCCAAAGGCCCAUUGCACUGAGCCUCCUUCUAGCUAGCCUGUGGCUAUUUUUCUACCUUCUCCUCUUCCUUCCCAAUCUUUUAGCCCCAGGAUUCUCAAGGCAUUUACUUACAGGAUCCUCUUGGUGAAUUAAUCCAACAUUCAUCCAUCUUAUGAGUAAAUGAUGUUCAAUUCAUUUCUACUUAUGAAUAAAGGCUAUCGUAAUUUGUUAACUGUUAAUAAAAUUCGGUGUUUAUAAACUAAAAUUAACAAGAGACUCUUUAGUAUUCCACUAAAACACCUGGCUGCUACAAAACAGGUAACAAUGUUGCAAAAACCCUAUUGCAAUUACAUACAAAAAAUAAAUCAUGCAGUUCUCAGAAGAACUCCAUUAUCACUGUUGAAGGAAUUAGUGGUAGUUUUCAAUUGCUGCUAUUCUUGUUUUUUAAUCUUCAUUCAGCAAGGUCAUUUCAAAGUAGUUUGAUACAUGCUGUAUGAUAGGUAUUACAUCAAGAGUAUCCUUAUUUUAAAUUUUCCAGUAAUGAGAUUGUGAUAUAUAUGUCAUGUUUCAAACAGGAGUCAUACCUCAAUUGCCAAAGCCCAUUUAUCAUCCUUACCCCAAAUUUAUUUGUGCAUGAUAGUCCAUUUCCAAUGGAAAACAGGAACAGUCAGAUUAAGUAGGUAAUGGGGCUCUGCCUAAGUUGGCUGAGGUCAAAAAAGGUGGCAUCACUGCUAUAAUCAAGCAAGCUGUUCUACGCUGCCAGGUCACACUACGUCCAGCCUAGUAGUCUUCCUAAACUUUCUCUCUAAACUACCUCAAGGAGCAUUAGAAACUCACCCCACCCGUGAUCUUUUAAUUUUCCAAGCCCCAUAUAUUCUGCCCAUGGCUUCUUGGAAUCUCACAUCCCCUUAAUGGACUUUUUUCCUUCAUCAUUAUCUUAAUUCUUUGUCCAGGAAAAUCUCUGUUCUCUCAAUUUCCAUUUUUACACGAAAAACCCACACCUUAGACUAGAACACUCAAAAAAACCUUUUUUUGUUUUGCUUUUUUAUGCCCAAGGAGAGGAGUCUUAGACCCAACAGACGGCAUGGAGCCAAUAAUGCCUCUUUCUGCAAUCUCCUGGAAGUAGAUUUUCAGCUCUCAGAUCUGAGUGCACAUCCUUCUUGUCCUUACGCCCUAAACUCAUAUCCCUUUGCAUUAAUGACUAGCUCUAUCACCUUACUCCUCCAAUCCCCCAAUAUUCGAAGUGAAGCAACUGGACAGCUACUGAAUAAGCCAAGAUUUUGAAGUCUAAAAGGAAAGGAAGGGAGGCAGCAAAAUGGAUUCCAACAUUUUAAUGAGAAUUUUCUUACAUGUUUUCAGAAUGAGAUAAAGGUUCAUUCUUUCUCUCAGAUUCUGAGGGGUAGCAGUAUUUUCAGAAAAUUUUGGUUUUCUAUUCUGUUUAAUUAUGAGUUUUACAAGCAUUGUUUUCUUCUAUUUUUCAGUCUGAUUCCUGUUCUUGGCUCUUCAGUUAGGGCCUAUUGCCACCUUGUGGACUAACUGGGCAUAAAUGCCAACGCACUAUCACAGGUUCUCACUUCGGUGCUUCCAGAAGAGACCACUAGAUGGUGACUUCAAGUUUGAAGAGACUUCUAAAUCAAUCUAGAAAACCAGUUAGUUGGUUUAUGACUACACAAAAAAAUAGAUUCACACAGAUAAAAUAAAAAGGAAUGUGUCCAAAAUUAUGAGUUAGAUAAAAAUAAAAAUCUUUUGGAGGUAGUAUGGUCUAAGGUCAGGCUUUGACUCUUAGCAAACUAGAAAUACAAGGGAACUUUCUCAUGCUGAUAAAGGACAACUACAAAAAAACUGUAUAGCUUCCUGAUUUCAAAACUUACUAUAAAGCUACUGUAAUCAAAACAGUGUGAUACUGACAUAAAAAUAGACAUACAAAUGGAAUAGAAUACAGAGCCCUGAAAUACAUUCUCCCAUAUAUGGUCAAUGAUUUUCAACAAGGUUGUCAAGACCAUUCAGUGGGGAAAGGGACAAUCCUUGAAAAGAUAGUGAUGGCAAAAUUGAAUAUCCACAUGCGAAAGAAUGAACGUGGAUUACACCGUAUGUUCAAAAAUCACCUCCAGACAAAUCAAAGACCUAAAAGUAUAAAACUGUCAGAGGAAAACGCAGGGAAAAGCUGAAUGAUUUUGGAUUUGGCAAUGAUUUCUUGGAUAUGACACCAAAGGCACAGGCAACAAAAAAGAUCAAAAACAAGACAAGAAUGUCAUUCUCACCACUUUAUCUACUAUUAGACUGGAAAUCUUUGCCAAUGCAAUAAGGUAAUAAAAAUAAACAAAACUCAUAAACAUCAAAAAGGAAUAAGUAAAAUUGUCUUUAUUCACAGAUAUACACAUAGAAAGUCCCAAGGAAUUUUUUAAAGUUACCAGAACUAGGAAACAAGCUUAACAAUGUUAACAUACAAAAAUCAACCGCUUUUCUAUACUAGCAACAAACAAUGGUAAAAUAACAUUUUAAAAUACCACUUACUAUAACAUUUAAAAAAAAAAAAAAAGAGUACUUAUGGUAAGUUUAAAGAAAGAUAUACUAGAUCUCAACACUUUAAAUACUUGCUGAGAAAAAAAAGUUCUAAAUAUGUGAAAAGAUAUACUAAAUUCUAGAAGAUUCAAUUCUAAAAUGACAACUCUUAACCAAAUUGACAGGAUCAAUGCAGUCCAGUAAAAAAUCUAGGGGCGCCUGGGUGGCUCAGUCGGUUAGGCCUCCGACUUCAGCUCAGGUCAUGAUCUCGCGGUCCGUGAGUUCAAGCCCCGCGUCGGGCUCUGUGCUGACCGCUCAGAGCCUGGAGCCUGUUUCGGAUUCUGUGUCUCCCUCUCUCUCUGACCCUCCCCCAUUCAUGCUCUGUCUCAAAAAUAAAUAAACGUUUAAAAAAAAAUUUUUUUUUUAAAUCUCAGGAGGCUUCUUUAAAAAAGAAAAAACUGACGAGGUGAUUCUAAAAUCUAUAGAGAAAUGAAAACAAAACACCCUAGAAUAGCCAAAAUAGUCUAAACAACUCUGAAAGAAAAAUGGAGUUGGAGCACUAACACUGCCUGAUCUCAAGACUGAUUAUAAAGCUAUUGUAUUCAAGACACUGCAGUAAUGGUGAAAAGAUAAAUAGAUUAAUGGAAGAGAAUACAAUCUAUAAAUGGACUCACACAUACAAAAUAUCAACUUUUCAGCAAGUACAUCAAAAAUUCAAUGAGGAAAGUCUUUUCAACAAAUGGUGCUAAAACAAACUAAUAUUUCUCAUACCAUACAAAAAAUUUAAUUUAAGAUGAGUUAUAGACAUAAAUGUUAAAACUAAAAAUAGAGUUUCUAGUAGAAAACACAAACACCUUUGCAACCUCAGGACAGGCCAAGAUUUCUUAGAACACAAGCAUUAACCAUAAAAGAAAAAAUUAAUAAAUUAGACUUCCUAGAAAUGUGAAACUCCUGCUAAUCAAAAAAACAUAUUAAUAAAGUAGAACAGAAAGCCACAGAUUGGUAGAAAAUAUUCACACCAUGUAUUUGAUGAAGGACUUGCAUCCUAAAAAAAACAAAACAAAAA